ACUUCUUUGGCAUCAACCCCAUUUCCAAUUUCAAACUCCUCUCUCAGCAGUGCUCCUACAUGGGGGGCUGCUUCCUGGAGAAGAUUGAACGAGCCAUCACCCAGGAGCUCCCCAGCCUUCUGGGUAGCAUUGGGCUUGGGAAGAAUCCAGGUGCUCCUAACUGUGACAAAACAGGCUGUGGAGAGACCCCAAAGAAUCGCUACAAGAAGCACUAGUUUCUGCGUAGCUAUCCUCGGGUCCCCGUUGGUGAAUAAGCUUGCGUCCUAACUGUCUGAGAAGUCCUGGUUUGUUAACCCUUUGAGCCAUACUGGCGACAACCAGUCUGCAUUGGAGAUUUGGAAGUUCACUGAGGCCGGUGAAUCAGGGAAGGCACAGGGUUCUAGGGAGGAGAGCGGUAACUGUGAAUCAUAGUGUGCUUGUCCUACUGCUUCAGUUAGAAGGCCUGACACAGGCCAAGUCAGUCUACAAAGCUUCCCUUGUUUUUUCUGGGUCCUGUCUUGGAAGGGCAGAGAGCAGCUAAAUCCUAAUGAAUACUAAGAUAGUGAGGUUCUAAUAAGCUAAACUCAUGGAAAUUUCCUGAGUAACAGAGGCUUCUCAGGUCUGUGUCAACUCCUUUCACACACGUCUUCUGUUUGAUCCCUGUCCCUCCUUGGCUCCCUCCUAAGCUUGGGUUGAUUUUCAGAAGUGGACAGUCUCUUGAGUUUGAUCUUCAUGAAUUUUGAGCCUAACCUUGGAAUCCUCUCCCAGUUUUCUCAAGGGGCGGGGCAUCCAUAAACCUAAAACAAGAGUUUUUAAAUUAGGGUGUUGAUCUGCCGCCACUGGUGUCCCAAUUGGGGAUCUCAGACAGUUGUCCCUAAAAGGAGGGUGAGUGGGUGAUGUACUCAAGUACCUUCCCCUCCUUACACGGAGGUAUGAAGGGCUCCGGGGGUUAAUUGGUUUGCAGUGUGUCUUUGUCUGUUGCAUGUCUUGGAAAGCUCAGAUCACAGAGGUGUUGGGUUUCAGAGUGGACAAUGGAGACCUUGCUCCUAGUCCUUAGAGGGUUCUCUGGACAGACAUUCUCCCAAGUUUUGGUGGAAGCUGUUUCUACAGCUUCUUUGUGGGAGCACUUGACAGAGGACUUGCCUCCUCUGGUUCCCAGAACCAUGGUUUCUCUUUUCCUUUCUUCUCCAUUCCCUGAUGCAUCAAUACUUCCAACUGAGAAAAAGUCCCUCGGAUCAGAACCAGUACCAGCCCCUUGACAUUGGCAUUGGUGCCAGAUAAGGCCUGAGGUUAGAUUCAAACUGAAUUCCUGCAGAUACCCACCGAGUGCAGUCAGGACUGUCAAGGCCUUCAAACACCAGUGAAUGUGCACUUAGUGUGUCCACUGUACAAGAGACAGCCCGGAGGAUGACAGAUUUGAGGGCACAGAGAGAGGACUCCUGGGAGUCGUGCAAGGCACACAUACACUGCCACCUUGAAGUGCAGGAGAGCAAGACGCUCUGGAAGGGUGAAGAGCUUUUUGAUGGAGCAGGCAAGGUGAAGUUCAGCCUGCCUUGAGGGCUUCCUCUGGGCACAGCCAGCUGCUUUCGUUUUGGAGCAACCUCUCCUGGAGGCCUUGAUUGUGAGGCAUGGGUUGGGAUCCAGCAGCAGCAGGGUGUCAUCUGGAGCAGAAGGGAAGUGGGAGGGAAGGCUGAGCCAACGUUAUUCUUUCUGAGGAUCAAAUAUGCAGCGUAAGCAUAUUGGUAACCGAGGAGGCUACACAGAGAACAUCAACUGAGGGGUUUGUGUUUCUCCGAAUUCUUUGAAGUCUGGUGCCUUCUAAGGAAGGCUGCUGUUUUGGCUCCUCGUAGGGCCCAGGACCUGCUGCCGUAAGUCAAAAGCUCCAGAACUGCCAGGACAGUGUCUCCAAGGAAUGAGUUCCUCCCAUAAGGGUCAUUCAUGGAGCUUGGUGGCUAGGGUAGAUGAGCUGCAAUCUGUCUUGGGUUUUUCUUCCCAAACUCCUCCCCUCUUCUCUCCAUCAUGCGCUCUCUGGAGAGACUGUCCCUCCCACCCUUCUCCUUCCUGCCCCUCAUGCCUGUGAGUUUUGUGUGGCAAAUCUGUUUUUCUCUCAAUGCAGAAACGGGGGAAAAAGCUGAACUGUAUGGAGCCUGUCCUAGCUGUCAGUGCCUGCAUGCUUCGGGGGAAGCAGGUGAAAUGAGGCCAAUGAAUUCUUACAGCAUUUGCGUUUGGGGGGAGGCACCUGACUAGUGGUACCUUCCUUCCUUUUGGAUUUCUCUCCAUCCAUUUCUUCUCUGCCUCCAUUCUGUCUCUCUCCCACUCACAGGCCGCUGACAGUCCCACAGCUUUCAGCACUCAAUCUUUGCCUGGCCGUGCAGAGCUGGGUUUUGAGCAGGAUUCUGACUAGGAGGAGGGAAAAACGUGGGAUGCAGAGAUUUCCUGAGGGGAACAUCUGUGUCUGUGCCUGAAGAGUGGCUGACCUUUCCAGUGUCCUUUCUAUUCUGAUUUCAUCAGGGAGAACGUCUCAAUAAAGUUCCAAUCUCUCUUCAA
RNAcentral lists this long non-coding RNA (2526 nucleotides) under Rattus norvegicus (Norway rat). RNAcentral describes it as "long non-coding RNA NONRATT004023". Lineage: Eukaryota; Metazoa; Chordata; Mammalia; Rodentia; Muridae. The record is from RNAcentral.